RNAcentral lists this ribosomal RNA (500 nucleotides) under uncultured bacterium. RNAcentral's name for it is "partial 16S ribosomal RNA". It matches the Rfam family "Bacterial small subunit ribosomal RNA", at positions 30 to 523 of the family's 1533-position model. The record is from RNAcentral.
AUUGAACGCUGGCGGAAUGCUUUACACAUGCAAGUCGAACGGCAGCACGGACUUCGGUCUGGUGGCGAGUGGCGGACGGGUGAGUAAUGUAUCGGAACGUGCCCAGUCGUGGGGGAUAACGUAGUGAAAAUUACGCUAAUACCGCAUACGAUCUAUGGAUGAAAGCGGGGGAUCGCAAGACCUCGCGCGAUUGGAGCGGCCGAUAUCAGAUUAGGUAGUUGGUGGGGUAAAGGCCCACCAAGCCAACGAUCUGUAGCUGGUCUGAUAGGACGAACAGCCACACUGGAACUGGGACACGGUCCAGACUCCUACGGGAGGCAGCAGUGGGGAAUUUUGGACAAUGGGCGAAAGCCUGAUCCAGCCAUUCCGCGUGCAGGGUGAAGGCCCUCGGGUUGUAAACUGCUUUUGUACAGAACGAAAAGGUUUCUACUAAUACUAGGAGCUCAUGACGGUACUGUAAGAAUAAGCACCGGCUAACUACGUGCCAGCCGCCGCCGUAA